This 838-nucleotide ribosomal RNA is filed under the name uncultured Bradyrhizobiaceae bacterium. RNAcentral's name for it is "bacterial SSU rRNA". It matches the Rfam family "Bacterial small subunit ribosomal RNA", at positions 247 to 1100 of the family's 1533-position model. Lineage: Bacteria; Pseudomonadati; Pseudomonadota; Alphaproteobacteria; Hyphomicrobiales; Nitrobacteraceae. The record is from RNAcentral.
AGUUGGUGUGGUAAAAGCGCACCAAGGCGACGAUCAGUAGCUGGUCUGAGAGGAUGAUCAGCCACAUUGGGACUGAGACACGGCCCAAACUCCUACGGGAGGCAGCAGUGGGGAAUAUUGGACAAUGGGCGCAAGCCUGAUCCAGCCAUGCCGCGUGAGUGAUGAAGGCCCUAGGGUUGUAAAGCUCUUUUGUGCGGGAAGAUAAUGACGGUACCGCAAGAAUAAGCCCUGGCUAACUUCGUGCCAGCAGCCGCGGUAAUACGAAGGGGGCUAGCGUUGCUCGGAAUCACUGGGCGUAAAGGGUGCGUAGGCGGGUUUUUAAGUCAGAGGUGAAAUCCUGGAGCUCAACUCCAGAACUGCCUUUGAUACUGAAAGUCUUGAGUAUGGGAGAGGUGAGUGGAACUGCGAGUGUAGAGGUGAAAUUCGUAGAUAUUCUCAAGAACACCAGUGGUGAAGGUGGUCUCACUGGCCCAUUACUGACGCUGAGGCACGAAAGCGUGGGGAGCAAACAGGAUUAGAUACCCUGGUAGUCCACGCUGUAAACGAUGAAUGCCAGCCGUUAGUGGGUUUUCUCACUAGUGGCGCAGUUAACGCUUUAAGCAUUCCGCUUGGGGAGUACGGUCGCAAGAUUAAAACUCAAAGGAAUUGACGGGGGCCCGCACAAGCGGUGGAGCAUGUGGUUUAAUUGGACGCAACGCGCAGAACCUUACCAGCCCUUGACAUGUAUAUGACCGGUACCAGAAAUGGAACCUUCCCUUCGGGGCAUAGAGCACAGGUGCUGCAUGGCUGUAGUGAGCUCGUGUCGUGAGAUGUUGGGGUAAGUCCCGCAACGAAAAGG